Molecule: ribosomal RNA, 500 nt
Filed under: uncultured bacterium
Lineage: Bacteria
Description: bacterial SSU rRNA
Rfam family: Bacterial small subunit ribosomal RNA
Source: RNAcentral
UAACACAUGCAAGUCGAACGCGAAAGGGGCUUCGGCCCUGAGUAGAGUGGCAGACGGGUGAGUAACGCGUGGGUGACCUACCCUCGAGCGGGGGAUAACGUCCCGAAAGGGACGCUAAUACCGCAUGACAUCCUGCCCUUGGACGGGCGGAGAUCAAAGCUGGGGAUCGCAAGACCUGGCACUUGAGGAGGGGCCCGCGUCCGAUUAGCUAGUUGGUGGGGUAAUGGCUCACCAAGGCAUCGAUCGGUAGCCGGCCUGAGAGGGCGGACGGCCACACUGGGACUGAGACACGGCCCAGACUCCUACGGGAGGCAGCAGUGGGGAAUUGUUCGCAAUGGGCGCAAGCCUGACGACGCAACGCCGCGUGGAGGAUGAAGAUUUUCGGAUCGUAAACUCCUGUCGAAUGGGACGAAUGGCUCGGCCGUGAAUAACGGCCGGGAAUGACGGUACCGUGAGAGGAAGCCCCGGCUAACUCCGUGCCAGCAGCCGCGGUAAUACGG